RNAcentral lists this ribosomal RNA (483 nucleotides) under uncultured bacterium. RNAcentral's name for it is "bacterial SSU rRNA". It matches the Rfam family "Bacterial small subunit ribosomal RNA", at positions 30 to 507 of the family's 1533-position model. The record is from RNAcentral.
AUUGAACGCUGGCGGCAUGCCUUACACAUGCAAGUCGAACGGUAACAGGUCUUCGGAUGCUGACGAGUGGCGAACGGGUGAGUAAUACAUCGGAACGUGCCCGAUCGUGGGGGAUAACGGAGCGAAAGCUUUGCUAAUACCGCAUACGAUCUACGGAUGAAAGCAGGGGACCGCAAGGCCUUGCGCGGACGGAGCGGCCGAUGGCAGAUUAGGUAGUUGGUGGGAUAAAAGCUUACCAAGCCGACGAUCUGUAGCUGGUCUGAGAGGACGACCAGCCACACUGGGACUGAGACACGGCCCAGACUCCUACGGGAGGCAGCAGUGGGGAAUUUUGGACAAUGGGCGCAAGCCUGAUCCAGCCAUGCCGCGUGCAGGAUGAAGGCCUUCGGGUUGUAAACUGCUUUUUGUACGGAACGAAAAGACUCUUUCUAAUAAAGAGGGUCCAUGACGGUACCGUAAGAAUAAGCACCGGCUAACUACGUG